This 253-nucleotide ribosomal RNA is filed under the name uncultured bacterium. Its description in RNAcentral is "partial 16S ribosomal RNA". It matches the Rfam family "Bacterial small subunit ribosomal RNA", at positions 524 to 776 of the family's 1533-position model. The record is from RNAcentral.
UACGUAGGGGGCAAGCGUUGUCCGGAAUCAUUGGGCGUAAAGAGCGUGUAGGCGGCCCGGUAAGUCCGCUGUGAAAGUCCAGGGCUCAACCCUGGGAUGCCGGUGGAUACUGUCGGGCUCGAGUCCGGAAGAGGAGUGUGGAAUUCCUGGUGUAGCGGUGAAAUGCGCAGAUAUCAGGAGGAACACCAAUGGCGAAGGCAGCACUCUGGGACGUGACUGACACUGAGGCGCGAAAGCGUGGGGAGCGAACAGG